Molecule: ribosomal RNA, 897 nt
Filed under: uncultured bacterium
Lineage: Bacteria
Description: bacterial SSU rRNA
Rfam family: Bacterial small subunit ribosomal RNA
Source: RNAcentral
CAUGCAAGUCGAACGAAGCACUUAUCUUUGAUUCUUCGGAUGAAGAGGUUUGUGACUGAGUGGCGGACGGGUGAGUAACGCGUGGGUAACCUGCCUCAUACAGGGGGAUAACAGUUAGAAAUGACUGCUAAUACCGCAUAAGACCACAGAGCCGCAUGGCUCAGUGGGAAAAACUCCGGUGGUAUGAGAUGGACCCGCGUCUGAUUAGGUAGUUGGUGGGGUAACGGCCUACCAAGCCAACGAUCAGUAGCCGACCUGAGAGGGUGACCGGCCACAUUGGGACUGAGACACGGCCCAAACUCCUACGGGAGGCAGCAGUGGGGAAUAUUGCACAAUGGGGGAAACCCUGAUGCAGCGACGCCGCGUGAGCGAAGAAGUAUUUCGGUAUGUAAAGCUCUAUCAGCAGGGAAGAAAAUGACGGUACCUGACUAAGAAGCACCGGCUAAAUACGUGCCAGCAGCCGCGGUAAUACGUAUGGUGCAAGCGUUAUCCGGAUUUACUGGGUGUAAAGGGAGCGUAGACGGCUGUGUAAGUCUGAAGUGAAAGCCCGGGGCUCAACCCCGGGACUGCUUUGGAAACUAUGCAGCUAGAGUGUCGGAGAGGUAAGUGGAAUUCCCAGUGUAGCGGUGAAAUGCGUAGAUAUUGGGAGGAACACCAGUGGCGAAGGCGGCUUACUGGACGAUGACUGACGUUGAGGCUCGAAAGCGUGGGGAGCAAACAGGAUUAGAUACCCUGGUAGUCCACGCCGUAAACGAUGACUACUAGGUGUCGGGGAGCAAAGCUCUUCGGUGCCGCAGCAAACGCAAUAAGUAGUCCACCUGGGGAGUACGUUCGCAAGAAUGAAACUCAAAGGAAUUGACGGGGACCCGCACAAGCGGUGGAGCAUGUGGUUUAAUU